RNAcentral lists this small RNA (947 nucleotides) under Pongo abelii (Sumatran orangutan). Its description in RNAcentral is "processed transcript". The record is from RNAcentral. Lineage: Eukaryota; Metazoa; Chordata; Mammalia; Primates; Hominidae.
UUGCUGUUUGUCCGGGUUUUUUACGUUUUAAUUUCCAGGACUUGAACUGCCAUGUCCUCUGAAGAAGGAAAGCUCUUCGUGGGAGGGCUCAACUUUAACACCGACGAGCAGGCACUGGAAGACCACUUCAGCAGUUUCGGACCUAUCUCUGAGGUGGUCGUUGUCAAGGACCGGGAGACUCAGCGGUCCAGGGGUUUUGGUUUCAUCACCUUCACCAACCCAGAGCAUGCUUCAGUUGCCAUGAGAGCCAUGAACGGAGAGGUGGGGCCUCCUAUCUGCAGAGGGACCUUGCCCCCAUCUGCGGCUUCCUUCAUUCUUUUUGUUUUUCCCUCUGUGUCUGCUCGGGGCAGCGUGGCCACCAAGCCCCGCAGUGCCCACUCACAGGAGCAUGACUGCCUUUUGUUCUAGGGGGUGGAGGGCAGCGGCAGACAGAGCCUGGCCGCCUGGGAGGCGACGACUGGUCCUGCAUGAGGCCGAGAAGCCACCUGUGGAUGGUUGACCUGCCUUGGGCUUAGGUAGUAGAGUCUGCAGACCUGUGGGCCUGGCCCGGAGAGGACCUCGUGAGUCUUCUGACAUGGACUCUGAAGCCUCAAACCAAGAGAGGUGUCUGUCUAGCCCUGAUAGUCGGGCAGCUUAGAGGAGUGGGGAGGAGAACUCAGCCUGAGUUCAGUCAAGAUGUAAGUAGUAGCAAGGGGAACAUGGUGCAUUCAGGUCAUUUUGUGUGGGAUUCUAUAGCUCCUGAUGAAGCCAUUCUGGGGUAAAGGAGCUUAUUCUGGAACAUGGCACCCAGAACCUGGUGCCCAGCAGGAAUUUUUGGCCUCUUUUGCCCACUUACCCUUGUCUGCUCUUCCCUCACCAUUGCCCUGACUGACUGCCAACCCAUCCUCCUUGUGUCUCCCACACUUAGUCUCUGGAUGGUCGUCAGAUCCGUGUGGAUCAUGCAGGCA